AGAGUUUGAUCAUGGCUCAGAUCAACGCUGGCGGCGUGCCUCAGACAUGCAAGUCGAACGCGAAAGUUCCCUUCGGGGAGCAAGUAGAGUGGCGCACGGGUGAGUAACACGUAGGUAAUCUACCUUCGGAUGGGGAAUAACAACCGGAAACGGGUUGCUAAUACCGCAUAAUGCUGCGGCACCUAAUGGUGACAGUUGUUAAAGCGGGGGAUCGCAAGACCUCGCGUCUGAAGAGGAGCCUGCGGCGGAUUAGCUAGUUGGUAAGGUAACGGCUUACCAAGGCGAUGAUCCGUAGCCGGCCUGAGAGGGCGGUCGGCCACACUGACACUGACAUACGGGUCAGACUCCUACGGGAGGCAGCAGUCGGGAAUUUUGGGCAAUGGGCGAAAGCCUGACCCAGCAACGCCGCGUGAAGGAUGAAAUCCCUCGGGAUGUAAACUUCGCAAGAACGGGAAGAAUAAGUCUGUGUUAACACCACAGGCGAUGACGGUACUGUUUGUAAGCUCCGGCUAACUCCGUGCCAGCAGCCGCGGUAAUACGGGGGGAGCAAGCGUUGUUCGGAUUUACUGGGCGUAAAGGGCACGUAGGCGGCCACCGCAAGUCGAUUGUGAAAUCUCCGGGCUUAACCCGGAAAGGUCAACCGAUACUGCGGGGCUAGAGUGCAGAAGGGGCAACUGGAAUUCUCGGUGUAGCGGUGAAAUGCGUAGAUAUCGAGAGGAACACCUGCGGCGAAGGCGGGUUGCUGGGCUGACACUGACGCUGAAGUGCGAAAGCUAGGGGAGCGAACGGGAUUAGAUACCCCGGUAGUCCUAGCCUUAAACGAUGAAUGCUUGGUGUCUGGGGUUUUAUAGUCCCCGGGUGCCGUCGCUAACGCUUUAAGCAUUCCGCCUGGGGAGUACGGUCGCAAGACUGAAACUCAAAUGAAUUGACGG
This 932-nucleotide ribosomal RNA is filed under the name uncultured bacterium. RNAcentral's name for it is "bacterial SSU rRNA". It matches the Rfam family "Bacterial small subunit ribosomal RNA", at positions 8 to 916 of the family's 1533-position model. The record is from RNAcentral.